UACGGGGGGAGCAAGCGUUGUUCGGAUUUACUGGGCGUAAAGGGCGCGUAGGCGGUCAGUGCAAGUCAGUUGUGAAAUCUCUGGGCUUAACCCAGAACGGUCAACUGAUACUGCUCGACUAGAGUACAGAAGGGGCAACUGGAAUUCUCGGUGUAGCGGUGAAAUGCGUAGAUAUCGAGAGGAACACCUGCGGCGAAGGCGGGUUGCUGGGCUGAUACUGACGCUGAGGCGCGAAGGCCAGGGGAGCAAACGGG
Molecule: ribosomal RNA, 254 nt
Filed under: uncultured bacterium
Lineage: Bacteria
Description: partial 16S ribosomal RNA
Rfam family: Bacterial small subunit ribosomal RNA
Source: RNAcentral